Molecule: ribosomal RNA, 496 nt
Filed under: uncultured bacterium
Lineage: Bacteria
Description: partial 16S ribosomal RNA
Rfam family: Bacterial small subunit ribosomal RNA
Source: RNAcentral
GAUGAACGCUGGCGGCGUGCCUAAUACAUGCAAGUCGAGCGAACAGAUAAGGAGCUUGCUCCUUUGACGUUAGCGGCGGACGGGUGAGUAACACGUGGGUAACCUACUUAUAAGACUGGAAUAACUCCGGGAAACCGGGGCUAAUGCCGGAUAACAUUUAGAACCGCAUGGUUCUAAAGUGAAAGAUGGUUUUGCUAUCACUUAUAGAUGGACCCGCGCCGUAUUAGCUAGUUGGUAAGGUAACGGCUUACCAAGGCAACGAUACGUAGCCGACCUGAGAGGGUGAUCGGCCACACUGGAACUGAGACACGGUCCAGACUCCUACGGGAGGCAGCAGUAGGGAAUCUUCCGCAAUGGGCGAAAGCCUGACGGAGCAACGCCGCGUGAGCGAUGAAGGUCUUCGGAUCGUAAAACUCUGUUAUUAGGGAAGAACAAAUGUGUAAGUAACUGUGCACGUCUUGACGGUACCUAAUCAGAAAGCCACGGCUAACUACGU